RNAcentral lists this ribosomal RNA (225 nucleotides) under uncultured bacterium. RNAcentral describes it as "partial 16S ribosomal RNA". It matches the Rfam family "Bacterial small subunit ribosomal RNA", at positions 28 to 253 of the family's 1533-position model. The record is from RNAcentral.
GACGAACGCUGGCGGCGUGCUUAACACAUGCAAGUCGAGCGGUAAGGCCCUUUCGGGGGUACACGAGCGGCGAACGGGUGAGUAACACGUGGGUGACCUGCCCUCAGCUCUGGGAUAAGCCUGGGAAACGUGGGUCUAAUACUGGAUAUGACUCCACGGUGCAUGUCGUGGGGUGGAAAGCCUUGUGCGGCUGAGGAUGGGCCCGCGGCCUAUCAGCUUGUUGGU